Molecule: long non-coding RNA, 677 nt
Organism: Nothobranchius furzeri (turquoise killifish)
Lineage: Eukaryota; Metazoa; Chordata; Actinopteri; Cyprinodontiformes; Nothobranchiidae
Source: RefSeq, a predicted model, not a curated record
CUUUCAAAAUCUUGAUUCAAUUCCCAUUUCAGUUAUCUUGUCUUUCAGAUUUUCUCGGCUGGCAUUUUACACCAAGGACUUAAAGGGACUUUACGGAGUUUUGAAUUUUUAUGCUCGUGAUUGCCUCCUCAGGCCAACAGCGUAAUGGCAGCUUCAAUAGUAGGCUCGUGCACAAGGUGCGCAUGCUGUACAUGCACACUCCUUAAAGAGCGGGUCAAUUGAGCCUCGGAGUCCUUCUCCACCCACGUAUCAAUUUUAAAAAAUGCAACAUUAGUAGGCGUUGCCUGGAGGACCGAGAGGGCGGAGCCGCGGCAGUGACGAAGACGAUGGCUAACUAGACGAAGCUAGCUCCCUUCACUCUGAGCAGUUGAUAGAAGUGGAGGACGUUUCUCCCCCUCCUUACAGACACUCGAGAAGAAAGGGACCAAGUCUAUUUGGAGGAGACAAGCGGACCUGAGUCUUAUUGUUUUGAGCUUGUGAGUUGCCUGAAACUCCCAGAACCGACCCAACAGAAUCACCUCUGAAAGGUCCUCUGGUGUCUGCAGCUGGUCUCUGGUGUCUGCAGCUGGUCUCCUCUGCUGGUGUCCUCAGGAUCAGGAACUUCCAGAAGAAUGUGCCUUUCAAUGACUCUUUCCCCCUUAUUUGUUAUAUUAAUUAAAUAAAUCUCAAUUUAUAUA